CGGGCAACUACGCAGAAUUAGCCAAGAUCGAGUCUCUCCAUCCACGCAGCGACCAGCCAGCCGCCUGCCAUGGCAUGGUCUUCUCAGUAAGUCGAACACUGACCACAGUGGAGGCAUGAGUCAAGAUAGCUCACACAAAAAAGUGAGUGAGGGAGAAGCAGCAUCGAGUAGUCAUUGUGGUUAA
This 184-nucleotide long non-coding RNA is filed under the name Fukomys damarensis (Damara mole-rat). Its description in RNAcentral is "lncRNA (ENSFDAG00000030026.1)". The record is from RNAcentral. Lineage: Eukaryota; Metazoa; Chordata; Mammalia; Rodentia; Bathyergidae.